GACGAACGCUGGCGGCGUGCUUAACACAUGCAAGUGGAGCGACGAGGGCCCUCGGGCUGGCAGAGCCGCGAACGGGUGAGUAACACGUGGGUAACCUGCCUCGAUGAUUGGGACAACCCGACGAAAGUCGGGCUAAUACCAAAUGUGCUUUCUGCUCUCAAGAGCAGUUCGGAAAGGAAGCUUCGGCCUCCGCAUCGAGAUGGGCCCGCGGCGCAUUAGCUUGUUGGUGGGGUAACGGCCUACCAAGGCGUAGAUGCGUAGCUGGUCUGAGCGGACGAUCAGACAGACGGGAACUGAGACACGGGCCAGACUCCUACGGGAGGCAGCAGGGGGGAAUCUUGCGGAAUGCGCGAAAGCGUGACGCAGCAACGCCGCGUGUGGGAAGACGGCCUUCGGUUGUAAACCACUUUCAGUUGGGACGAAGGGCAGUCUGUGAAUAGCAGCUCUGCUUGACGGUACCUUCACAAGAAGCCCCGGCUAACUACGUGCCAGCCGCCGCCAAAC
Molecule: ribosomal RNA, 504 nt
Filed under: uncultured bacterium
Lineage: Bacteria
Description: partial 16S ribosomal RNA
Rfam family: Bacterial small subunit ribosomal RNA
Source: RNAcentral